GAAAAACAGGUGGCGUAGCAGGUGGGCAGCACGUUGCCAUGAUGUGCCGUGGCCCGGCCGUGGCUGGCGUGAUCCCACCAGAGUGAGCUGGAGCAGAUCUGCACCAUGGGCCAAGUUUCUCAGAAAAUACAUAGCUUCCUGUGGGCUGCAGCCUAAUGCCCACGUUCCUCUCGGGGAAGACCAAAGGUUAUUCAACCAGGGCAAAGGACAGCCUUGCAAACCAACUACGUCCUCCUUCUGGAGUUUGUGUGACCCCUGGCCCCUGAGCCCACACCCUCUCGGAGCGGGGUUCCAACUCCGUGGAAGCUCUGCUGAGAUGCAGACAGGAAAAUAAGAAGGCAGAAGAUGGUCUGCAAAGGAUAAAAACAGGUGCAUCUAAGAAUGAGAAAAAUGGCUCAUGAAGAAAUGUGUAACUCUCCAAGAGAUGCAGACACUCUGCUCAGAGAAGUCAAGAACCAUAAACAACUCUUCAUGUUUCAUGGACAAAGGGAAGGCAAAGGCAUACAAAAAUACUCAGUUGUCUUGAAAAGUGUACUGGUAGUGAUCAGGGCUACAAAGGCGAGCCCUGUACUGACAAUGGAGGAGCCUUACAACUCAGCACCUUAAAUUGUUGGCCUGAAGUGGUGGCGGGGAGGGAGGCGCUGACGGAGAGACCCAUGGCUCACCACUUAUUGCGUGUACACAAGGCCUGGGGCAAGCCUCACAAGUCUACCAUUUCUUCCACUCAACUGUGCUUCUCCUGAAUCCAUGUGCCUGAAAUGACAUAUGCAAGGUUCUCAAAAAGUGGUGUAGACUCAGGCAAAUGCCAGGAAAUGUGUCCAUAUGCCAGAGGAGACACAGAGCCAGAAAUGAAGGCUAUGGGUCCUGUCUUCAGUGAAACACUGAACGCUCUCGGAAAGCUCCCAUCAUUCUUGCAUCGCUACUGCCACCAAGACGGUGGCAAGGGAGGAGGCUAACUUUCAAAUGCAUGCAACGGCAGAGUUCCUGAAUGAGAGCUUUUCUGGCUUCAGUACCAAUGAUCACAGAAGGAACAUCUUCCUGAUGCAAGCUUAGAUGGAAGUCAAUGACCCUGGCAGUGCUAAGAACAGAAGUCACACGUGGCCUGACGAUGAAGGGGAGGUUCAGAUGGCAUACACCGACAAGAGAAGGCAGAGACCAUCCUUCGUGGUGAGCACAAAAUGCUAUGACAGGUAAUUGCAGAGAGAAAAAAGCACCCAACUCUGUAAAGCCAAGUCCAGUCACCCAUUCACAAGAGUCCAAAAUCCUUCAAAUCUCUAGGGACAGAAGACAAACGUGCUGCCCAGAAUGAGCUGAGACACAAGGCAAACCCUUGGAAAUGACACAUGGAUGAGGAGGCUGUGGUUGUCCCUCCUUAUUCCUGCUGGAUUUGCAGCCACGGCUCUGGAUCUGGGGCAUCUACUGGCCUCCCCUGUUCACUCAAGAGGCCACUGCCUCUCAGGAGUCCAGAAUGCUCUGAUAUCUGACACCGGUGGUCAGGAAGUUAUGCUGCCCUCUCCUCUUGAACAGCUAAGAUGCUUGGACACUAGACAGAGGCAAAGCAGUUAUGCCAGAAGCAGGGGAGAGUCAUUCACUGUCAGAUCUGUCUGUUCAAAGAGCUCACAUUAGACCAAUCACAGAAAACCACCAGACUCACACAGCUUGUAUUUGAAUGAACCAGGAGAGACUUCAAGGAUCAACUCUAAAGUGCUAGAAGAGAAAUCUGUGUUUGGGGCACUGAAUAAACAAGUGAUGUCCUAGAAGAUCAACACCCCAUCAGUCUUAGGAGUAUGACCCUAUUCAUGGACAAGGGGUUUCAAUGGACAGCCUGAGUGCUCAGCCCCCCAUCCUCCUCUCCUAGCAAGACAAGCAGUCUGUUGCUCAGAGGGGGAAACUGAUGUCAUUUAACAGGAGGUCAGGAUUUCUGGUUCUACUUCAACAAACAGUGCAUAAUUUUGGACACAGCAUCAGAUUUCCUGACUUCUUACAAAGGACAGCUAAUUAAAAACGUGUCAAUCUGUAGUAAUUAGUUGGAGAUUAACAAGGGCAGAAGAGAAUCCAAGUCUUAAAACUCUAUGUGGGAUACAUUUCUGAUGAAGCUUCUAUUUGACUAAUAUACUGUGAUGAUGGCACUAUUCGAUUUUAAACUAUGGAGACAGCUUUUAUUAUUUCGAUUUGGAUCCUGGUAAGUGGUGAUACUGCUAUGUAACAGUUAAAGCACAAAUGUAUUGCCAUAGUUAAGGUUGAUGGCUUUGGAGGGGUGCAAAUGCUACGUGUUUGGAAGAGCAGAGGAGGCCUGCAGCUCUCAGUCACCUGUCUCCAUCUU
This 2323-nucleotide long non-coding RNA is filed under the name Homo sapiens (human). RNAcentral's name for it is "HSALNT0232951". Lineage: Eukaryota; Metazoa; Chordata; Mammalia; Primates; Hominidae. The record is from RNAcentral.